Molecule: ribosomal RNA, 440 nt
Filed under: uncultured bacterium
Lineage: Bacteria
Description: partial 16S ribosomal RNA
Rfam family: Bacterial small subunit ribosomal RNA
Source: RNAcentral
CCUACGGGUGGCAGCAGUGGGGAAUAUUGCACAAUGGGGGAAACCCUGAUGCAGCAACGCCGCGUGAGUGAAGAAGUAUCUCGGUAUGUAAAGCUCUAUCAGCAGGGAAGAAAAAGACGGUACCUGACCAAGAAGCCCCGGCUAACUACGUGCCAGCAGCCGCGGUAAUACGUAGGGGGCAAGCGUUAUCCGGAUUUACUGGGUGUAAAGGGAGCGUAGACGGCAGUGCAAGUCUGGAGUGAAAUCCCGAGGCCCAACCACGGGACUGCUCUGGAAACUGCGGGGCUGGAGUGCAGGAGGGGUAAGCGGAAUUCCUAGUGUAGCGGUGAAAUGCGUAGAUAUUAGGAGGAACACCGGUGGCGAAGGCGGCUUACUGGACUGUAACUGACGUUGAGGCUCGAAGGCGUGGGGAGCAAACAGGAUUAGAUACCCCAGUAGUC